This 21-nucleotide microRNA is filed under the name Drosophila melanogaster (fruit fly). RNAcentral describes it as "dme-miR-989-3p". Its record names the gene dme-miR-989-3p. The record is from miRBase by way of RNAcentral. Lineage: Eukaryota; Metazoa; Arthropoda; Insecta; Diptera; Drosophilidae. RNAcentral also lists the same sequence under 1 other name.
UGUGAUGUGACGUAGUGGAAC